UACAGGGGGGGCAAGCGUUGUUCGGAAUUACUGGGCGUAAAGGGUCUGUAGGUGGCUUGCUAAGUCAGACGUGAAAUCCCUCAGCUUAACUGGGGAACUGCGUCUGAUACUGGCAAGCUUGAGUGCAGGAGAGGAACGCGGAAUUCCAGGUGUAGCGGUGAAAUUCGUAGAUAUUCGCAAGAACACCAGUGGCGAAGGCGGCUCACUGGCCCGGUACUGACGCUGAGGUGCGAAAGCGUGGGGAGCAAACAGG
Molecule: ribosomal RNA, 253 nt
Filed under: uncultured bacterium
Lineage: Bacteria
Description: partial 16S ribosomal RNA
Rfam family: Bacterial small subunit ribosomal RNA
Source: RNAcentral